UCCUCGAACGGACAAAAGAAAGAAGUACCUGAGUCGGGGAAUAGAUGGGGAUAACGGCUCCGCAUAUCAUACUCGGACUCCCAGGUCGAUGCCUCAGGAGGCUGAACUAUCCACUGAACACGCACUGAAGGGAAACUCCGCGAACUCAACUGUCGAAUCUGUCGGUCUAAAAUAGCACCCCGCUCCUCCUCAUAUAACAGAUCCUUGUCCAAUUGGACAGUGCUGAAAUUUAACACAUGAGUGGGAUCACCGUGAUACUUCCGAAGCAUGGAUACAUG
RNAcentral lists this long non-coding RNA (278 nucleotides) under Nicotiana benthamiana. RNAcentral's name for it is "long non-coding RNA (NBEN_LNC013980)". The record is from RNAcentral. Lineage: Eukaryota; Viridiplantae; Streptophyta; Magnoliopsida; Solanales; Solanaceae.